Molecule: long non-coding RNA, 799 nt
Filed under: Physcomitrium patens
Lineage: Eukaryota; Viridiplantae; Streptophyta; Bryopsida; Funariales; Funariaceae
Description: long non-coding RNA (PPAT_LNC014691)
Source: RNAcentral
AAGAGGCUUUUUUGGCAAUGUCGUAUUACGUGUUGUCUUGCUCAGGAAUGCACCGAGCACCCAGUUGUGGAAGGUGAGAAUUCCUAAUAGGUUUUGUCCAUACGAGAAGAAUACAAUCUGAAUUUCAAUUCAAAAGUGCUAAAAACACUCUUCCUAAUAGCCUUAAUCAUUCAUAAAUUCCAAUUACCUUGUUACUUUCAUAUUUAAGUAAUUAAGAUUUUUCUUGUAAGCUCCAAUCCUAAUAAUUGAGCUUUAACAAGCUGUAACAUCCAAUCCAAUCAUCCACUUGAUGUAAAAUUUUUUAUGCAAUUGUCAAUGUAAGUCUUCUAUAUACUCAAGAAUUUUUAGUCCAAUCCCACUUACAGAUUGUGAUAAAACCUCCAAAAAUUGCAUUAAUGUCACUCGUCUGCCAACUUGAAAAGUGAAGCAGAAAUCCCAAAAGUGAUUUCUCCCUUUUCAACCAUUAUCUUUGACUCAAAAUUGGUGUGUAGCUUGAUCUUUAACUCCUGCAAUACUAUGCCAAAUUUCACUUUGAUCCAACUAAUAGAUCUCUAGAUAUCAUAGAAAUCCUAUCCAACCUCAAACUGCCAACUUUUGAAAUCCUUUUGUGCUAAAAACUAGAUAUCUCUAACCAUACCGUUAGAUUAUCAUAAAAUUUUGUAUGCACUUAGUACACCCAAUAAUCCAUGUAGUUUCAAUUUUUCAACCAUAGAUGUUAAAAUAAUUACACAAACCAGCCAAAAUUACUAGCUCUAAUUAUAUAAUAUAAAAUCCAAAUCACCAAUACAAAUCCUGACUU